Oryza nivara is the source of this 203-nucleotide non-coding RNA. NCBI's taxonomy places the organism in Eukaryota, Viridiplantae, Streptophyta, Magnoliopsida, Poales, Poaceae. The record is from Rfam.
AAUAAGUGUAGUUUUAGCACUGUUCAUGUUCAACAUUUGACCGUUCGUCUUAUUUGAAAAACAAUUAUGAUUAGUAUUUUUAUUGUUGUUAGAUGAUAAUACAUGAAUAGUACUUUAUGUGACUAAUAUUUUUAAUUUUUUAUAAAUAUUUUAAAUAAGACGGACGGUCACUUAUUUUGGGACGGGAGGUAGGAGUAGCUAUC